GAUGAACGCUGGCGGCGUGCCUAAUACAUGCAAGUCGAGCGAACAGACGAGGAGCUUGCUCCUCUGACUUUAGCGGCGGACGGGUGAUUAACACGUGUAUAACCUACCUAUAAGACUGGGAUAACUUCGGGAAACCGGAGCUAAUACCGGAUAAUAUAUUGAACCUCAUUGUUCCAUAGUUAAAUACGGUUUUUCUGUCGCUAAUAGAUUGAUCCGCGCCGAAUUAGCUAGUUGGUAAGGUAACGGCUUACCAAGGCUACGAUGCGUAGCCGACCUGAGAGGGUGAUCGGCCACACGGGAACUGAGACACGGCCCAGACUCCUACGGGAGGAAGCAGUAGAGAAUCUUACGGAAUGGGGGAAAGCGUGACGGAGCAAAGCCGGCUGAGUGAUGAAGGUGUUAGGAUCGUAAAACUCUGUUAGUAGGGAAGAAGAAAUGUGCAAGUACCUAUGCACGUAAUGACGGUACCGAAUCAAAAAGCCACGGCUAACUACGUG
Molecule: ribosomal RNA, 497 nt
Filed under: uncultured bacterium
Lineage: Bacteria
Description: partial 16S ribosomal RNA
Rfam family: Bacterial small subunit ribosomal RNA
Source: RNAcentral